This 433-nucleotide ribosomal RNA is filed under the name uncultured bacterium. Its description in RNAcentral is "partial 16S ribosomal RNA". It matches the Rfam family "Bacterial small subunit ribosomal RNA", at positions 29 to 507 of the family's 1533-position model. The record is from RNAcentral.
AACGAACGCUGGCGGCAUGCCUAACACAUGCAAGUCGAACGAGACCUUCGGGUCUAGUGGCGCACGGGUGCGUAACGCGUGGGAACCUGCCCUUAGGUUCGGAAUAACUCCCCGAAAGGGGUGCUAAUACCGGAUAAUGUCUUCGGACCAAAGAUUUAUCGCCUUUGGAUGGGCCCGCGUUGGAUUAGCUAGUUGGUAGGGUAAAAGCUUACCAAGGCGACGAUCCAUAGCUGGUCUGAGAGGAUGAUCAGCCACACUGGGACGGAGACACGGCCCAGACUCCUACGGGAGGCAGCAGUGGGGAAUAGUGGACAAUGGGCGAAAGCCUGAUCCAGCAAUGCCGCGUGAGUGAUGAAGGCCUUAGGGUUGUAAAGCGCUUUUACCCGGGAUGAUAAUGACAGUACCGGGAGAAUAAGCUCCGGCUAACUCCGUG